RNAcentral lists this ribosomal RNA (378 nucleotides) under uncultured eukaryote. RNAcentral's name for it is "SSU rRNA". It matches the Rfam family "Eukaryotic small subunit ribosomal RNA", at positions 587 to 972 of the family's 1831-position model. The record is from RNAcentral.
AGCUCUGUAAGCGUAUACCAAAGUUGUUGCAGUUAAAACGCUCGUAGUCGGGUUUUGGCGUGUGCUUCUGAGACCCCUGAUGGGUGUCGAAGGCUAGCUCCGCCUUUGUGGAGGGGGGUGUGGUGGUGCUUUACUGCAUUGCCGCAUUUCCGCCACUGUUUACUGUGAAAAAAUUAGAGUGUUCAAAGCGAGCGAUUGCCAAUGAAUAAAUUAGCAUGGAAUAAUAGAAUAGGACCUGGUUCUGUUUUAUUGGUUUGUCGGUAUCAGGUAAUGAUUAAGAGGGACGGUCGGGGGCACUUGAAUUCCAGGGUUAGAGGUGAAAUUCUUAGAUCCUUGGAAGUCAAACAGCUGCGAAAGCGUCUGCCAAGGACGUUUUCA